CGCGACCCCAGGUCAAGCGGGGCUACCCGCUGAGUUUAAGCAUAUCAAUAAGCGG
Molecule: ribosomal RNA, 55 nt
Filed under: Calyptranthes pallens
Lineage: Eukaryota; Viridiplantae; Streptophyta; Magnoliopsida; Myrtales; Myrtaceae
Also listed under: 1 other name
Description: partial 28S ribosomal RNA
Source: RNAcentral